ACACGACUACAUUAGAUACCCGGGUAGUCCAGGGUGUAAACGCUGCGGGCUUGGUGUUGGGGGUCCUUUGGGGGCGCCCAGUGCCGGAGAGAAGUUGUUAAGCCUGCUGCUUGGGGAGUACGUCCGCAAGGAUGAAACUUAAAGGAAUUGGCGGGGGAGCACCACAACGGGUGGAGCUUGCGGUUUAAUUGGAUUCAACGCCGGAAAUCUUACCGGGACCGACAGCAACAUGAAGGCCAGGCUGAAGACUUUGCCGGAUUAGCUG
RNAcentral lists this ribosomal RNA (265 nucleotides) under uncultured archaeon. Its description in RNAcentral is "partial 16S ribosomal RNA". It matches the Rfam family "Archaeal small subunit ribosomal RNA", at positions 717 to 982 of the family's 1478-position model. The record is from RNAcentral.